CCCAUUGGUCCAGGUGAGAAGAAGAGGUCGUUGGGGCGUGACUACCACCCUCUGUGUCUGAAGUGUCAACAGUGUCAGAGACAGUUGACCCCAGGACAACAUGCAGAGCAUGAUGAGAAGCCCUACUGCACUAACUGUUACAUGAAGACGUUCGGUCCCAGAGCAGGUAAGGGGAGAAUGAUGUCAUACUGUCACAGCUCAGCCUCCUCUUCCUCUUCCUCCUCCUAGGAACCAGUCUAAC
This is a long non-coding RNA of Coregonus clupeaformis (lake whitefish), 241 nucleotides long. RefSeq lists it as uncharacterized. The record is from RefSeq and is a predicted model, not a curated record. The transcript has 3 exons. Lineage: Eukaryota; Metazoa; Chordata; Actinopteri; Salmoniformes; Salmonidae.